Pantherophis guttatus is the source of this 341-nucleotide non-coding RNA. Lineage: Eukaryota; Metazoa; Chordata; Lepidosauria; Squamata; Colubridae. The record is from RefSeq and is a predicted model, not a curated record.
CCUUGGCCGGUGUGCAAACUUUUCCUAUUCCUCUAUUAUUUCCCAGGGAGACAGUUGCAAACCGAGGAGGGAAUCUCCCUGGCCAAGUGUGAAAUAAGGUACGGCUGAUAGAGAAGCGUGCAAGGGGCGAUUAAGGACCUUGUGGAGCUGUCUCUUGGUCUGGUGGUUUAAGCUCAUCUUCAGAUGACAAGUGCUUUCGUGAGGCACAUGACAAGUGGCUUUCCCCGACAAAAGGCAAUGCGCAUGCAGUUUUUCAGACUACUGAAAAUUCUCAAGAGACAACUAUUAUUGCUAUUUUAUAGCAUGGUUAUGUAAAUGUUUAAUAAACAUAGAGACUGAAA